This 439-nucleotide ribosomal RNA is filed under the name uncultured bacterium. RNAcentral describes it as "partial 16S ribosomal RNA". It matches the Rfam family "Bacterial small subunit ribosomal RNA", at positions 339 to 795 of the family's 1533-position model. The record is from RNAcentral.
CUACGGGUCGCUGCAGUGAGGAAUAUUGCGCAAUGAGCGAAAGCUAGACGCAGCAACGCCGCGUGAGCGAAGAAGGCCUUCGGGUUGUAAAGCUCUUUUCUGUGUGAAGAGAAGGACGGUAGCACAGGAAUAAGUGUCGGCUAACUACGUGCCAGCAGCCGCGGUAAAACGUAGGACGCAAGCGUUAUCCGGAUUUACUGGGCGUAAAGCGCGUGCAGGCGGUCAGUUAAGUUAUGCGUGAAAGCUCCCGGCUCAACCGGGAGAGGUCGUAUAAAACUGAUUGACUUGAAGGCAGCAGAGGCGUGUGGAAUUCCAGGUGUAGUGGUGAAAUGCGUAGAUAUCUGGAGGAACGCCAGUGGCGAAGGCGACACGCUGGGCUGUACUUGACGCUAAGACGCGAAAGCGUGGGUAGCGAACGGGAUUAGAUACCCUCGUAGUC